CUUCUCUAUUCCUUCGUCCUUGAUGCGCCGCCGCCGUCCUCUGUCCCGUCGGCGAGCUUCUGCUCCGGGCCUGCCUCCCCGUCGAUGACCUUUACAUGCCAUCUGCGACUGCCGCCCGUCCGUCGGCGUCCAUCGAAUUCUCGAGCUCAACGGUGUGAAUUACUCUGCUGGGUUUGGAUUUAGCGUGAGGGCCACAUGAUGCUGCAUCUUCUCGAUUCCCCAUGUAUGACGCCCCACCUUUUUUCCUUUGUUUAUUAUGCUUUGUUUUCUUAGUUUAUAGCAGCAGGAUCAGGGGCAAGCUUUGAUGCAUCUUCGGUGAUGACCGAUGAUUGAUCGAUUGUUGGCUAGAGGAGAAUUUACUGUGAUUUAGAUGUAAAUGAGGCUCUGAUCUGUAUUUCUUUGUGGGAAACAUCAUGGGAGCUUUAUUAAUAAUUUGCAGGAUUUCAGUAUGCUAACACAAGAUUUAGAAAUAAAAUAAGGAGAAUGGUCAACUAUAUGAAAAAACAAUUAAACCAAUGUCUCUCAUAAUCCUCCGUUGAAUUGUAAUGUUUUCAUGUA
Long non-coding RNA from Triticum aestivum (bread wheat), 558 nucleotides. RefSeq lists it as uncharacterized. The transcript has 3 exons. The record is from RefSeq and is a predicted model, not a curated record. NCBI's taxonomy places the organism in Eukaryota, Viridiplantae, Streptophyta, Magnoliopsida, Poales, Poaceae.